CUACGGGAUGCUCCAGUGAGGAAUAUUGCACAAUGGGGGGAACCCUGAUGCAGCAACGCCGCGUGGAGGAUGGCGCAUUUCGGUGUGUAAACUCCUUUUAUAUGUCAAGAAAAUGACGGUAGCAUAUGAAUAAGCACCGGCUAACUCCGUGCCAGCAGCCGCGGUAAUACGGAGGGUGCAAGCGUUACUCGGAAUCACUGGGCGUAAAGGACGCGUAGGCGGGUUGGAAAGUCAGGUGUGAAAUCCUACAGCUUAACUGUAGAACUGCACUUGAAACUUCUAAUCUAGAGUAUGGGAGGGGGAGAUGGAAUUAGUGGUGUAGGGGUAAAAUCCGUAGAUAUCACUAGGAAUACCUAAAGCGAAGGCGAUCUCCUGGAACAUUACUGACGCUAAGGCGUGAAAGCGUGGGGAGCAAACAUGAUUAGAUACCCGCGUAGUC
RNAcentral lists this ribosomal RNA (439 nucleotides) under uncultured bacterium. RNAcentral's name for it is "partial 16S ribosomal RNA". It matches the Rfam family "Bacterial small subunit ribosomal RNA", at positions 339 to 795 of the family's 1533-position model. The record is from RNAcentral.